Triticum dicoccoides is the source of this 2206-nucleotide long non-coding RNA. RefSeq lists it as uncharacterized. The record is from RefSeq and is a predicted model, not a curated record. NCBI's taxonomy places the organism in Eukaryota, Viridiplantae, Streptophyta, Magnoliopsida, Poales, Poaceae. The transcript has 8 exons.
CUUUCUCGAGAAAAAACAUGAUCUCGAUCUCGUCCGCCCGUCGGAGUCGACACCAACGGCGGCGCUGCUUCUCGAGGACCCCGCGGCCGAGCCCCGUCCACUCGCUCCCUGUGCCUUUGCCUCAACGUGCGCCUCCGCAAGCCGUCGCUCCCGCCACCACCUUCCCUACCGUGUGCACCCCGAGCGACACCCUCGAAUCCUCUACAGGCGCCCACCCUCACGCCGGCCCCAAACCCUGCCAGUAUCCUAACUAGAUGUCCUCUCUAGAACGAGCGGUCGGCGAGGAUGCUGGUGAUACACGGGGCCUGCUCGAGAAUUUCCAGGUUGAGCUAGUUGCGGUUGUCCCACCGGCAGACCAUCUUGUCAUUGUAGUGCUGCUCUUUGUGACAGGGCAUGAGCAGGAUGUCGGCACGAACCUCGUCCAGACAACGGCGGAUGGUCUUCAGGAAUCCUGUGGCUGCAACAUAGGACGAUGGUAGGAGGUGGAUUCACAUGCCCCCUUGGGCGCCUCUCCACCGCUGCACCCCAUUUCCCUUCCUAAGGUUGUGUUUUAUUUCACAUUGAUCAAUUUGUGGGGAGCAGGCCCAUAUGUAGCAAGGAGCAAGCUGCACAAGAAAUUAAUUGGAAUCAAGAUACUCAUCUUUAAUUUAAUAGUAAGGGGUUGAGACUUGGACAAACAAGAACAAGAACAAUUUAUUAUCAAGAUAUCUGCUUUGCAAAUCUACGACGAGAUCGUCAAGGAUCUUCUACGGCCUGAUUCUGGCCCCCUUCGCUUGUUAGAUAAUCCUGAGGUUUGCAACAGAAAGGAACCAUCGUGGACAAGUUGGAUGAAGGAAUCGCCAAGGACAGCCAGUAUCUAAGGCAUCUAAUAGCCAUUUGUGAAGGCACUGCUACAUAUGCAUAACAAAGACAUCUUGGUGAAACUGCACUAAGUGACACAAGUACACGUUCCCACCAAAUCAUUAGGUUGUUUAUAUCUAUAUCCAGACUGUGGAGAGUAUGCUCCAUGAAGCGCCAGGUCGUGUUAUAUCUUUUAUUACUAACUUGAAUUUCGUUGACCUUGCUUGAAGCGAGCGUGCUGCACAAACACAUGCUGUUAGUGCAAGGUUGAAAGAAGGCGCCAUAUUAAUCGCAGCUUGUUGACUUUGACUACUUUCAUCAGAAAGCUCAGAGAAGAUAAGUUUCAAAUCAUAGGAUCCUCUGAUGACAUUUCUGCCAUACAAGCAAUAAGCUUUGAAGUCCGUAAUGUCAACUAUUGAGUAGCAACUAGGAAGAAUUAAGUGGCAAUGAACCUCUCUGAUAAUGAAAAAUUAUUAUCUGUAACCUUUCCUAUGUUGAUUACUUGUUCACUCUUUGUGAUUUAAGGCUCUUAUAUUAGUGUUGGGCCGGUACUGGCAGCGCACCUAUGCUAUUAGUUUGAUUGGCUGAUGAUUUUUUUCAGGCUUAUUUCGAAGUUGAAUAUAUUUCCUUGAACGAGCAUCUUGAGUUCUUGACAUGGCUUUGGCUAUUGUUUACCUUCCCUGCGGAAGAAGAAUCAUAUGCUUCAGCAAGCCAGACUUUAUUGUAGAUCAGUUCAUCUUGCCAAUGUUUCUAUCAUAUACUCCCUCCGUUCCUAAAUAUAAGUCUUUUUAGAUAUUUAAAAUGGACUAUAACAAACGGAUGUAUGUAGACAUAUUUUAGAGUGUAGAUUCACUCAUUUCGCUCCAUAUGUAGUCACUUGUUGGAAUCUCUAAAAAGACUUAUAUUUAGGAAUGGAGGGAGUAUAUUUAUAUGCUCCAGUUCUUCAAGACUUGCAUUGAUUUCUUCUCCAGAAAUUUGUGUGCUCUUGCUCCUGCAUGAAGGAUUGAUGGAUUUUGCUGCUCUUGGCUUGAUAAAAUUUAGCAUUUCUAGGUUUUCUGUUUAGUUUUUCAUGAUACAGUCUCACUAUGUAAUUGGUAAUUAGAAUUUAGAAUCAUAUUCAGUCUAUACAUAUUUAAGGAGAUAUCCAGUUCCAUGAAUGGCGUAGAAUUUUCGGUCAACCACAAGGAUUUCUCAAAAAUGUGAUGUUCAAAUUUGAAGAGUUAAAUUCUUUGCAAGAGCAGAAGGUGCUAGCCUCGGAAGAGGAUAUAAUGUGAUAAAUUUGUGUUAACAUUUUUUGCAGCUUCACUUCCCAUUAGUGUGCAAUUAUUGCUUUUUUCAUGUGGCUAUAUAUUUACGAUAAUUUCUA